UGUUAAAAAUUUUAUUUGUUUUUACUAUUAAAAUUAGUCUAGCGGACUGAGUAAUUAAAUAGUUAUGUGUGGUGUGUCACAUGUACUUUAUCUUGACAUGCAGAGACAGUUUUUUAACAAUAAAAAUUAAUAGAAUUUUUAACA
Molecule: microRNA precursor, 144 nt
Filed under: Gossypium arboreum
Lineage: Eukaryota; Viridiplantae; Streptophyta; Magnoliopsida; Malvales; Malvaceae
Description: MIR7502 microRNA precursor family
Rfam family: MIR7502 microRNA precursor family
Source: Rfam by way of RNAcentral